Molecule: long non-coding RNA, 1029 nt
Filed under: Homo sapiens (human)
Lineage: Eukaryota; Metazoa; Chordata; Mammalia; Primates; Hominidae
Description: non-protein coding lnc-RRP8-6:1
Source: RNAcentral
GUUAUAUUGCUGCAAGUUUACCAUAUUUUACCUGAAACAACUUAGAUUAUUACCCCUAAGUGGACUGCAAUGAGAUUUAUAGUGUAAUCCCACUAAAAUAUAAUGUGAGAGGAUUGCCUGAGGCCAGGAGUUUGAGACUAGCCUAGGCAACAUAGUGAGAACCUGUCGCUACAAAUAAUAAUAAUAAUAAUCAAAGCUCUCACCUCAAUAACCUAGGAAAAAAAUAGCAAAAUAAAUCCAAAGCAAGCAGAAGGAAGGAAAUAAUAAAGAUAAGAACAGAAAUCCAUGAAAUUAGAAACCGAAAAACAAUAGAGCAAGCCAAUGAAACAAAGGGCUGGUUCUUUGAAAAGAUCAAUAAAAUUACAAACCUCUAGCAAGACUGACAAAGAAAAAUAAGAGAAAAGACACAAAUUACCAAUACCAGAAAUUAAAUAUCACUAUAGACUGUACAAACAUAAAAAAGUAAGGGAAUACUGCAAAACCUCUAUGCACAUGUUUUUGACAGUUUAGAUGAAAUGAAACAACUCCUCCAAACACAAAGUGCCACAACUCAUGCAAUAUGAAAUAAAUAAUUGAAGUUGCCCUGUAACAACUCAGGAAAUUAAAUUUAUAAUUUAAAAAUUCCCAAGAAAAAAAAACUCCAGGCCCUGAUUGUUUCACUGGGGAAUUUUACCAAAUGUUUAAAGAAGAAAUAACGCUAAUUCUAUAAAAUCUUUUUCAGAAAAUAGAGGAGAACACCCACCAAUUCAUUUUAUGAAGCUAAUAUUACUCUGACACCAAAACCAGAAAGAGAUGUUAUAAACAAAGAAAACUACAGACCAAUAUCUUUGAUUAAUAUAGACACAAAGUUCUUAGCAAAAUUGAAUGCAACAAUAUGUAAAAAAGAAUUAUACAUUAAAACGAAGUGGUGUUUAUUCUAGGGAUGGUUCAAUAAUAGAAAAUAAAUCAAUGUAAUCCAUCAUAUUUUAAGGCUAAAGAAGAAAAAAUUACAGAAUUAUAUCAAUAGGUGCAGGAAAAAGUACUUAACAA